AAGACGUUCAACAUGUGAUGUAGUUUGUUAACGGCAGUCUUUGUGUCGUUUAAAGACAAAGCAAGAGCUCUCCGUUCUCUAAAUGCAUUCACCACCCAAUUUUUCAGCGCGCGUUUACUAAUUCCUUUGGCUUCAGUUCCGCCUUCAAAGAGCUGCAUUGUUUUCAAAGCUUCAUCUUCUCUCAUAAAACGCAUUAUAUCCUCCAGAUAGAUGAACUUUGAGUCAGGCUUCG
Molecule: unclassified non-coding RNA, 232 nt
Filed under: Hevea brasiliensis (rubber tree)
Lineage: Eukaryota; Viridiplantae; Streptophyta; Magnoliopsida; Malpighiales; Euphorbiaceae
Source: RNAcentral